RNAcentral lists this ribosomal RNA (245 nucleotides) under uncultured bacterium. RNAcentral describes it as "partial small subunit ribosomal RNA". It matches the Rfam family "Bacterial small subunit ribosomal RNA", at positions 26 to 285 of the family's 1533-position model. The record is from RNAcentral.
AGAAUCAACGCUGGCGGCGUGCCUAACACAUGCAAGUCGCACGAGAAAGGGUAGCAAUACCUGAGUACAGUGGCGCACGGGUGAGUAACACGUGAAUUAUCUACCUCCGAGUGGGGAAUAACUGAGAGAAAUCUUAGCUAAUACCGCAUAACACUUACGAGUCAAAGCAGCAAUGCGCUUGGAGAGGAGUUCGCGGCAGAUUAGUUAGUUGGCGGGGUAAUGGCCCACCAAGAUGAUGAUCUGUA